UUUCCGUAGGUGAACCUGCGGAAGGAUCAUUAAAGAGUUAGGGUCUUUCAGGCCCGACCUCCCAACCCUAUGUUUAUAGAAUCUAUUGUUGCUUCGGCGGAUCCGUCUCGCGACCGCCGGGGGACCGUUAUACGUCCUCUGGCCCGCGUCCGCCGGUGGCCAACCUUAACAAACUCGAAAUAAUCGUGUCUUGUCUGAGUCAAAAUCUUUAAUUAAAACAAAACUUUCAACAACGGAUCUCUUGGUUCUG
This 250-nucleotide unclassified non-coding RNA is filed under the name plant metagenome. RNAcentral describes it as "partial contains small subunit ribosomal RNA, internal transcribed spacer 1, and 5.8S ribosomal RNA". The record is from RNAcentral.